This 543-nucleotide long non-coding RNA is filed under the name Papio anubis (olive baboon). RNAcentral's name for it is "lncRNA (ENSPANG00000036922.1)". Lineage: Eukaryota; Metazoa; Chordata; Mammalia; Primates; Cercopithecidae. The record is from RNAcentral.
UGAUGCUUGUAAUUCAUGAGAGUAGCUAUGAAGGAAACUCUCCUUGUUGAGGAUGCAGACAGAUCCAUCCCACUGCUGAGCUCUGGCUACCCUUUCCAGGACAGGAUUGUACUCCCGUGACACUAGUCUCCAGAGACCUGGUGAUAUUCAAGGUCUUCAUCCUUCUCCGGGCACCCCUACCUAACACUUAACCCUUAGAUGAGAUGAUAUCCUCUUGCUGCCCUUCUGCCAACCCUUCCCUGCAAUCGGACCUGACCUCUGAGAAUGCAGCUCCCCCCAGCCUGAUAUAGCUCAUCCCUCAUCGGGUGCAUCUGUGCCUAGCUACCCUGGUUCUGAUGAAGUAAAUAGGACACAUAUGUCACUGUGGAGCCUCAUGAGUCUCUUUAGAUAAAAAUAAAUUUGGAAAAUUGCAAAACCCUCCAGAGACAAUACCUUCCUAAUGAUUUCUGCCUUCUUUGACACCUCAUUGCACUGAUUAAUGGUCAUUCAAAUUGACCACCUGGCAUAGCUCACUGUCAAAAUAAAAAAGGACAUAUUUUAAAA